Lonchura striata (white-rumped munia) is the source of this 441-nucleotide non-coding RNA. Lineage: Eukaryota; Metazoa; Chordata; Aves; Passeriformes; Estrildidae. The record is from RefSeq and is a predicted model, not a curated record.
AGGAAAAGGAAUCUGUUGUUUUUCACAGCUUCGGAAAUGGGGAACAAGUUCUGCCUUCAUUUUACACUGAGUUAAGUAAAAAAUUGCAGAUGAUAUCACUAGUAUGAUAUGUGUUGGAUCACAGCUCUGCCUUCCACAGAGAGGCAAUUUUAGUAAAGAGCUUGCACCUUUGAUCUGGGUAGAAGGUACUGGAUCUGCAUGUUCUGGACUACUCGUUGCUGGGAUGCUUUCUACAGUACAGGCAGUGAAAAUUGUGAAAUAUCUGCCCCAUCAAUACAGAUCCUUGUUUGCUUUGACAAACUCAGUGGGAGUCAACAGUUCAUUAAAUACCACUUCUGAAACAGCAGAGGAGGAAGUUUUUGAGAUGUGCUUUAAGAAGGGAUGGAUCAAAAGCUUCGUCAUUAUUCCUUUAUGACUGUUUGCCCAUAGGAAUGCAGGUAG